AUUAAACGCUGGCGGCAUGCCUUACACAUGCAAGUCGAACGGCAGCACGGGGGCAACCCUGGUGGCGAGUGGCGAACGGGUGAGUAACGCAUCGGAACGUGCCCUGGAGUGGGGGAUAACGUAGCGAAAGUUACGCUAAUACCGCAUAUUCUGUGAGCAGGAAAGCAGGGGAUCGCAAGACCUUGCGCUCUGGGAGCGGCCGAUGUCGGAUUAGCUAGUUGGUGGGGUAAAGGCCUACCAAGGCGACGAUCCGUAGCGGGUCUGAGAGGAUGAUCCACCACACUGGGACUGAGACACGGCCCAGACUCCUACGGGAGGCAGCAGUGGGGAAUUUUGGACAAUGGGCGAAAGCCUGAUCCAGCCAUGCCGCGUGAGUGAAGAAGGCC
Molecule: ribosomal RNA, 386 nt
Filed under: uncultured bacterium
Lineage: Bacteria
Description: bacterial SSU rRNA
Rfam family: Bacterial small subunit ribosomal RNA
Source: RNAcentral